This is an RNA transcript of Pan troglodytes (chimpanzee), 2641 nucleotides long. It is a transcript of the gene named TRAF3 interacting protein 3, with no coding region annotated. Lineage: Eukaryota; Metazoa; Chordata; Mammalia; Primates; Hominidae. The transcript has 17 exons. The record is from RefSeq and is a predicted model, not a curated record.
AGAGUUCAGGGGCCCACUUAGAUGAUACCAGAGAGCAAGAGAGAGGAACUGGGGUUUGCGAACCUUGUGGCUUUGUCUGUUUCCUGUUUCAGCAAGGCUGCUGUGCAAAAAGAAAGACGGUACCAAGAAGGGACGUGCUAAUGGGGCCCAGACCUAUGGAUUGAAAGCGUGUGCUUUACCCAUCUGCUGUCUUGCUCCAUCUGAGACCAGAGCCAAGAUCUGCCCAGGACUGGAAUGCUUUCCCGAGUGGCUUGAGUUGGAGCCUGGGACUCGGAGCAGCCUUAUUGAGGUACAAUUCAUGUGCCUGUGGAUUUGGAUGGCACAAUCUGUGUCUGGGCUAAGGAAAGCAGACUUGGCACCAGUAUUAGCCCUGACAGAUCCAGGCAUCUAUUCCAAGAACUGGAAGCCAAGCGCAACAGGUGCUUGGAGGUCAUCAUGAUCAGCCCAGACCCCAGGCCCUCCCCUGGCUUGGCCCGGUGGGCUGAGAGCUAUGAGGCCAAGUGUGAGCGCAGGCAAGAGAUCCGUGAAAGCCGCCGCUGCCGUCCCAAUGUGACCACUUGCCGCCAGGUGGGGAAGACGCUGAGGAUUCAGCAGAGAGAGCAGCUCCAGAGAGCUCGACUGCAGCAGUUCUUCAGGAGGAGGAACCUGGAGCUAGAGGAGAAGGGCAAAGCGCAGCGUCCCCAGGCCAGGAAUCAAGGGCCCUCCAGGCGGCCAGGACAGGUGACUGUCCUCAGGGAACCCUUGUCUUGUGCCAGCAGGAUUUCUUCUCCCAGAGAGCAGGUGACAGGCACCAGCUCUGAAGUCUUUCCAGCCCAGCAUCCUCCUCCCUCAGACAUCUGCAGGGAUCUGUCUGACCACCUCUCCUCACAGGCUGGGGGCCUUCCUCCACAGGACACUCCCAUCAAGAAGCCACCCAAACACCACCGUGGUACUCAGACAAAGGCAGAAGGACCAACAAUUAAGAACGAUGCCAGUCAGCAAACCAAUUAUGGAGUUGCAGUUCUGGAUAAGGAAAUCAUCCAGCUUUCUGAUUACCUCAAAGAGGCCCUACAAAGGGAGCUGGUCCUAAAACAGAAAAUGGUGAUUCUCCAAGACCUACUGUCCACUCUGAUUCAGGCCUCUGACAGCUCUUGGAAGGGACAGCUUAAUGAAGACAAACUGAAAGGGAAACUGAGAUCCUUAGAAAACCAGCUGUACACCUGUACCCAGAAAUACUCCCCUUGGGGAAUGAAAAAAGUACUACUGGAGAUGGAAGACCAGAAAAACAGCUAUGAGCAGAAGGCCAAGGAGUCACUGCAGAAAGUGCUGGAGGAGAAAAUGAAUGCAGAGCAGCAACUACAGAGCACACAGCGAUCCCUGGCCCAGGCAGAGCAGAAGUGUGAAGAGUGGAGGAGCCAGUAUGAGGCUCUGAAGGAGGACUGGAGGACCCUUGGGACCCAGCACAGGGAGCUGGAGAGCCAACUCCACGUGCUUCAGUCCAAACUGCAGGUACCAGGCACUGGGGGUGGGGAGGGAAGACAGGCUAUGGGGAGGAGGGAUGGUGAUGAAAGAAGCUGUUCUGGAUUAGGGACUCCAAAGGCAGCUGACAGCAUCUGGCUUUCAGUUCCUCAGUCACCACUACUUUGUACCAAAUUCACUGUUUUGGCUCUGAAAUCUAAUUUUGAGUUUAGCAAGGAUGUCUGCAUUGCUCAUGCAAAUGAACUAAGCGUUCAUUGGAAUGACACCAUCACCACCCAAAUGAAAAGAACUGGCUGGAAUAUUCAUCAGCCUACUAAUGUCAUCUCCCAACCCACUCUCCAAACUCCAUCCCAAAAAAGCAUCCAGUUCAGAAUUGCCCACUGUUGGCACAGAAAGAAUGUCACUAAUUUAUUUACAGGGAGCAGAUAGCAGGGACUUACAGAUGAACCAGGCCCUGCGAUUUUUGGAAAAUGAGCACCAGGAACUGCAGGCCAAGAUUGAAUGCCUGCAAGGGGACAGAGACCUGUGCAGCUUGUAUACCCAGGACCUACAAGAUCAACUAAAAAGGUCAGAGGCAGAGAAACUCACCCUGGUGACCAGAGUACAGCAGUUGCAGGGUUUGCUUCAGAAUCAAUCCUUACAGCUUCAAGAACAGGAGAAACUCUUAACAAAGAAAGAUCAGGCUUUGCCUGUGUGGAGUCCAAAGUCCUUCCCUAACGAAGUGGAGCCUGAGGGUACAGGGAAGGAGAAAGACUGGGAUCUCAGAGACCAGCUGCAAAAGAAGACUUUGCAGCUCCAGGCCAAGGAAAAGGAGUGCAGAGAACUGCAUUCAGAAUUAGACAACCUCAGUGACGAGUAUCUCUCCUGCCUGCGUAAGCUGCAGCACUGUCGAGAAGAGCUGAACCAGAGCCAGCAGCUGCCUCCCAGAAGGCAAUGUGGGCGAUGGCUCCCAGUGCUGAUGGUGGUGAUUGCUGCAGCACUGGCAGUGUUCCUGGCCAAUAAAGACAACCUGAUGAUCUGAAUAAUUUGUGACAACUGCCUUGGGUGAAAAUCAGAAGCAAGCAACUCAGCGAAAAACUCAGAAGGUUUGGGUACAUUACAGCUUGGGUUUUCCAACUGACUUAGGAUUUCUGACUUUUUAUUAUUUUCUUAACCUACUGUAAAUAAACUUCACCUGACCAGA